AGAGCUGGGGCUCAGUGGCAGAGCGCUUACCUAGCAUGUGUGAGGCACUGGGUUCAAUCCUCAGCAUCUCAU
Molecule: non-coding RNA, 72 nt
Organism: Ictidomys tridecemlineatus (thirteen-lined ground squirrel)
Lineage: Eukaryota; Metazoa; Chordata; Mammalia; Rodentia; Sciuridae
Source: Rfam